RNAcentral lists this ribosomal RNA (253 nucleotides) under uncultured bacterium. Its description in RNAcentral is "partial 16S ribosomal RNA". It matches the Rfam family "Bacterial small subunit ribosomal RNA", at positions 524 to 776 of the family's 1533-position model. The record is from RNAcentral.
UACGGAGGGUGCAAGCGUUGUCCGGAAUCACUGGGCGUAAAGGGCGCGUAGGCGGCUCAUGAAGGCUGUGGUGAAAGUCCGGGGCUCAACCUCGGAUCGGCCGUGGCGACUCGUGGGCUGGAGCACUGUAGAGGCGGGUGGAAUUCCCGGUGUAGCGGUGGAAUGCGUAGAGAUCUGGAAGAACACCAGUGGCGAAGGCGGCCCGCUGGGCAGUGGCUGACGCUGAGGCGCGACAGCGUGGGGAGCAAACAGG